Molecule: ribosomal RNA, 497 nt
Filed under: uncultured bacterium
Lineage: Bacteria
Description: partial 16S ribosomal RNA
Rfam family: Bacterial small subunit ribosomal RNA
Source: RNAcentral
GAUGAACGCUGGCGGCGUGCCUAAUACAUGCAAGUCGAGCGAACAGACGAGGAGCUUGCUCCUUUGACGUUAGCGGCGGACGGGUGAGUAACACGUAGGUAACCUACCUAUAAGACUGGGAUAACUUCGGGAAACCGGAGCUAAUACCGGGUAAUAUUUCGAACCGCAUGGUUCGAUAGUGAAAGAUGGCUUUGCUAUCACUUAUAGAUGGACCUGCGCCGUAUUAGCUAGUUGGUAAGGUAACGGCUUACCAAGGCAACGAUACGUAGCCGACCUGAGAGGGUGAUCGGCCACACUGGAACUGAGACACGGUCCAGACUCCUACGGGAGGCAGCAGUAGGGAAUCUUCCGCAAAGGGCGAAAGCCUGACGGAGCAACGCCGCGUGAGUGAUGAAGGUCUUCGGAUCGUAAAACUCUGUUAUUAGGGAAGAACAAACGUGUAAGUAACUGUGCACGUCUUGACGGUACCUAAUCAGAAAGCCACGGCUAACUACGUG